CUUAAAAAGGAGGGAAUCCUAUCAUUUUUGACAAUAUGGAUAAAUCUAGAAGACUCUGUGCUGUGAAAUAAGCCAGACACAUAAAGAAAAAUACUGAAUGAUCUCACUCCUUCUGGAAAUCUACAAAAACUGAUCUCAUACAAACAGUGAUUAGAAUGAAUGUUGCAAGAGAGAAGGAGGAUUUGGAAGCUAGAGGUCAAAGGUCACAAAGUUUUAGCUAAGAAGAACAAAAAAGUUCUGUAGGUCUGAUAUACGGCAUGGUGACUAUAGUUAAUCCUACUGAAUUGCAUGCUUGAAAUUUGCUAAGAGAUGACAGCUUAAGUGUACUCAUCACAUACACAAACAGUAACUCUCAUGAGACGGUAGAUAUGUUGUUCCGGUAAUCAUUUCACCAUAAUUAUGUAUAUAACAUUUUG
Molecule: long non-coding RNA, 416 nt
Filed under: Marmota monax (woodchuck)
Lineage: Eukaryota; Metazoa; Chordata; Mammalia; Rodentia; Sciuridae
Source: RNAcentral